Molecule: transfer RNA, 66 nt
Filed under: Candidatus Enterenecus avicola
Lineage: Bacteria; Bacillati; Bacillota; Clostridia; Eubacteriales
Also listed under: 6 other names
Rfam family: tRNA
About the family: Transfer RNA (tRNA) molecules are approximately 80 nucleotides in length.
Source: RNAcentral
UCUGUAGCUCAGUUGGUAGAGCAGCGGACUGAAAAUCCGCGUGUCGCUGGUUCGAUUCCGGCCGGA